Molecule: long non-coding RNA, 10508 nt
Filed under: Gossypium barbadense (sea-island cotton)
Lineage: Eukaryota; Viridiplantae; Streptophyta; Magnoliopsida; Malvales; Malvaceae
Description: long non-coding RNA (GBAR_LNC023279)
Source: RNAcentral
AACAAAAUUUUUAAAUGAUGAAAAAUUUGUUGUUUAAUUUUCAGGUUUAUCAAACUCAGAAGCAUGCACUCGUGACAUAGACUGUUUGGGCCAGUGUAAACAUGGUGGUUUUUGUGACUUGACAACUAAAAAAUGUAGUUGUUUGCCGGUGUCAGAGCAGCUACCAUCUAACAUUGCAGCAACAGUGGAUGCUAUGCAGCGAUGAUAGAAACUUCAAAGGAUUGCCCACCAGCUUGUUAAGCCCAUAACAUUCAAGGUGGCAUUUGUGUCUGCAAACGUUGUGCCUGAAGAAAAAAAAAUCCGAACAAAAAACUCUAAAUUUAAGCCUUUCAACAAUGCCAAAUAUUAUAAGAUAAACUUUGUAUCCAAAAAAUUGGGAAAUAAAUUAUUAGUGAAUAAAAAGGUUGUCAAAGAGAACUUAUUUACUUAUGUUAUACUUCGUUCAAGUAUCGUAACUUCAUAUCUUUUCAAUUGACCAUGCAUGGUUCUAAUUUUCGAUCCAUCGAAUUUAUAUGUGGUCAAUGCAAUCCUUUAAUUAAUGGAUUUAACGACUAAUGUUAUAAUAUCAUGCCAACUAGUCAUUUCCACAUAAUUCGCACAAAAAGAGGCUUGAUUUAAUUAAUGGAUUUAACGACUACUGCUUGGGUUAAGAUAGAGAUAUCAAAACUCAAAAUAUGAUCUAAUUGGAGAAUAGGAACUAAACCCACAACUUACCGAUACUAUGAGAUUGAUAACAUAAUUUAAUCUACCCUAGAGUUUAUUUGGGCACUAGGAUUUCAAAUUUUAAAAAGUAGAAGGGUUACAAUAAUCGUGGGGAGAGAUGUAGAGGGACAAGGGACGGGUAAAUUUUUAUUUUUUAUAAUAACAUAUUUAUUUAAUAUUAAUAUUAAUAUAAAAUUGUUUUUAAUUAAAUUUUAGUGGGGUGUUGACUUUAGCCAUCCCAUUAGUUCAAACUUUAUUUUAAUGGCACUAACUACAGGUACCAAAUUCAGUAACAGAAUCAAAGUUUAGGUAUUUGGAUUGGCCAAAAAAUAGUUUCAGUACCUAUGUCAAACAAAGCAAAUAGUUCAAUGGCCUCCUAUUCAAUUAAGCCUUUAAUAAAAUCUCAAAUUAAAGAGAAAGAUGUUGGUAAAUGUGAUCGUAUUAUAGUAAACAUUUACCUAUUUUUUAUGUAUUUGAACGAUGGAUAAAUAAAUAAAGUUAAUUUCACAUUUCACUCUUAUAUCUUGUGUUUCUGUCUUCCAUGUUUUACUUACGUAUCAAAAUUGUAACAAGCAAAUGUUAGCUCAUUGAUUAUCUAAGUUGAAACUGAUGAUAAGUGUGGCACUAUAAGAAUGUUUACAUUUCGAGAAAGACAAUUUACUUCUAUUAAUAAUCUAAACAAGUCUGUAAUCCCGUAAAAGAAUCAAAGUGAGCAUUUGAUUCAAAUACUCAAAAGCAUUAUUAUGUUGUCUAUAAUUCUAGUUAGGGAUGUGAUUAGUCUUGGCUAUCCGAGCAGUUGAAUCCACGGGUAGAGACAUAAUCGUAUUGCUUGGAAGAAUGAGACAUUAGACUGAACCUAAAAUGGAUCAAUUCACUUGUGACGUUCAUGGUGUGACUUACCUAAAUCCUAAGUUAGUCACUGACCAUGCGUAUGUAACUCAUGUGCUUUGAUAUUAGUGUAGGCUUAUGCUCUUAACAUGACCGAGUCGAUAGCCAAUAUGUUAGGUACAUGACUUGGGUUUGGCAUUACUUUACUAGCAACAAUGAAAUCCAUACCUCGACUAAGAGUUAACGAUAUCCUCUCAUUGAUAUUGUUUGGAUUGAUAAAAAUGGAUUUGGCCACGGGGUUGCUUGUUCUCGAACGAGUAAUUUGUCACAGUCAUUAGUUGACAAUGAUCAUAUUAACAAUUAAGAAUACACAACGAUGACGAUAAGAUAAAAUAUCAUUUUAGUGAGUGAAUAAAUCUAACUCAAAGGACUCAAUGAUAUCAUAUGAGAUCAUUAGACAAAGUAGUUGGAUGAAUUGCUUUCAUAAAGAGUAAACAAUAGGUAGUUUUCAAUAAUGGUACUAUAUGUGGACUGACUUCAAGAUUAAGUAAAUUGUGAAUUAUCUAAAUAAAGCUUCUGGACAUAAUUGCAUUUACUUGAGCAUAAUUGUAUAUGUUCGAUUGGUCCCUUUGCUAGCUCAACAAAAGCUCAAUCAGACUGCAUUUGAAUCAAAAGAAAAUUCUAUGACUUUGAAAAUAAUUUAAUUGAGUCGAUUUAUUCAGGAUAACUAUUGUGCCACCUUUAUUAGAAACGCAUUGAGUUGGACUUACUCUCUCACUAUCAGAGAUAACACACACAAUACAAACAUCCAACUGUUUAGUGAUUUCUUUUUUACUACCUCCUCCAUAGUUGGGUUUAACCGACAUUACGCAUCAACAAUUGGCUUCUUAUCUUAUUCCAGCAAAAGUUACAAAAAUAUAAAUUAUAAAAACAAAAAACGAUCUAAUUAGAGAAUAUGAACUAAAUCCACAACUAACGCAUAGUACGAGACUAAUAGCAUAAUUUAAUCUAACAAAUUUAACUUCUAUUGUUUAUGCAAGUACUAGAAUUUCAAAUUAAAAAAGUAGAAUAAUUAUAAUUGAUCAGAUAAAACUAAAAGGACUAAAUCCACAACUUAUGUAUGGUAAAAAGAUUAAUAAAAAAAUUCAAUCGUAUGAAUUAGGGUUUAUUUUUUAAGUUCACGAGCACAAUUACUAAGGUGUGGAUAAAAAUAAUAGCCAAUUAUUUCCAAUUUUUUAUUACCUACAAGUUAUUGUAUAAAAAUAUUAUCUUCAAUUAAUUAUCAAAAAAAGAAAAAUGUUAAUAUAUGGUAACUAUAUCUAAAUUAAUUGUGCUAUUAUUAUCUUGCCAUAGGUGACGUAUAAAGCAUACUGCAAAAUCUUUUAUAUGAUUUUUCUCUUCCGACAAAAUUCGCAAGUAUAUCUUCACCUACCAAGUCAUAACUUUACUGCGAUAUUAGGUUAAAAAAAUUCCAAGAAAUUCAACUAUAAAUGGCCAAAUGCAUGUCAUUUUUUGUAUAUCAUCAGCUUGUUAUCAUAUAACUAACUCUUUGUUUCAUCUCUCAAUAGCUUUCAUUUUAAACUAUGGCUUAUUUCGGCGUGGUUUCUCUUUUUGCGGUUUUGCUUGUGGCUUCUUGUUAGUAUCUAAAAUAUUUAUCCAGUUCAAUAUUUAAUUAUUACAUACAUAUAUAUACAUGUAACUUUUUUAGUAUAUAAGAGAUUGCAGUAUUAAAAUGAGGGAGGAUUUGCAAUCGUUGCGAUUCGAAUCCUAUGUGUCUUAAACUAAUUAUAUAUAAUAGCUAAUAUAAAAUAACUAACAAAAUUUUUAAAUGAUGAAAAAUUUGUUGUUUAAUUUUCAGGUUUAUCAAACUCAGAAGCAUGCACUCGUGACAUAGACUGUUUGGGCCAGUGUAAACAUGGUGGUUUUUGUGACUUGACAACUAAAAAAUGUAGUUGUUUGCCGGUGUCAGAGCAGCUACCAUCUAACAUUGCAGCAACAGUGGAUGCUAUGCAGCGAUGACAGAAACUUCAAAGGAUUGCCCACCAGCUUGUUAAGCCCAUAACAUUCAAGGUGGCAUUUGUGUCUGCAAACGUUGUGCCUGAAGAAAAAAAAUCCGAACAAAAAACUCUAAAUUUAAGCCUUUCGACAAUGCCAAAUAUUAUAAGAUAAACUUUGUAUCCAAAAAAUUGGGAAAUAAAUUAUUAGUGAAUAAAAAGGUUGUCAAAGAGAACUUAUUUACUUAUGUUAUACUUCGUUCAAGUAUCGUAACUUCAUAUCUUUUCAAUUGACCAUGCAUGGUUCUAAUUUUCGAUCCAUCGAAUUUAUAUGUGGUCAAUGCAAUCCUUUAAUUAAUGGAUUUAACGACUAAUGUUAUAAUAUCAUGCCAACUAGUCAUUUCCACAUAAUUCGCACAAAAAGAGGCUUGAUUUAAUUAAUGGAUUUAACGACUACUGCUUGGGUUAAGAUAGAGAUAUCAAAACUCAAAAUAUGAUCUAAUUGGAGAAUAGGAACUAAACCCACAACUUACCGAUACUAUGAGAUUGAUAACAUAAUUUAAUCUACCCUAGAGUUUAUUUGGGCACUAGGAUUUCAAAUUUUAAAAAGUAGAAGGGUUACAAUAAUCGUGGGGAGAGAUGUAGAGGGACAAGGGAUGGGUAAAUUUUUAUUUUUUAUAAUAACAUAUUUAUUUAAUAUUAAUAUUAAUAUAAAAUUGUUUUUAAUUAAAUUUUAGUGGGGUGUUGACUUUAGCCAUCCCAUUAGUUCAAACUUUAUUUUAAUGGCACUAACUACAGGUACCAAAUUCAGUAACAGAAUCAAAGUUUAGGUAUUUGGAUUGGCCAAAAACUAGUUUCAGUACCUAUGUCAAACAAAGCAAAUAGUUCAAUGGCCUCCUAUUCAAUUAAGCCUUUAAUAAAAUCUCAAAUUAAAGAGAAAGAUGUUGGUAAAUGUGAUCGUAUUAUAGUAAACAUUUACCUAUUUUCUAUGUAUUUGAACGAUGGAUAAAUAAAUAAAGUUAAUUUCACAUUUCACUCUUAUAUCUUGUGUUUCUGUCUUCCAUGUUUUACUUACGUAUCAAAAUUGUAACAAGCAAAUGUUAGCUCAUUGAUUAUCUAAGUUGAAACUGAUGAUAAGUGUGGCACUAUAAGAAUGUUUACAUUUCGAGAAAGACAAUUUACUUCUAUUAAUAAUCUAAACAAGUCUGUAAUCCCGUAAAAGAAUCAAAGUGAGCAUUUGAUUCAAAUACUCAAAAGCAUUAUUAUGUUGUCUAUAAUUCUAGUUAGGGAUGUGAUUAGUCUUGGCUAUCCGAGCAGUUGAAUCCACGGGUAGAGACAUAAUCGUAUUGCUUGGAAGAAUGAGACAUUAGACUGAACCUAAAAUGGAUCAAUUCACUUGUGACGUUCAUGGUGUGACUUACCUAAAUCCUAAGUUAGUCACUGACCAUGCGUAUGUAACUCAUGUGCUUUGAUAUUAGUGUAGGCUUAUGCUCUUAACAUGACCGAUUCGAUAGCCAAUAUGUUAGGUACAUGACUUGGGUUUGGCAUUACUUUACUAGCAACAAUGAAAUCCAUACCUCGACUAAGAGUUAACGAUAUCCUCUCAUUGAUAUUGUUUGGAUUGAUAAAAAUGGAUUUGGCCACGGGGUUGCUUGUUCUCGAACGAGUAAUUUGUCACAGUCAUUAGUUGACAAUGAUCAUAUUAACAAUUAAGAAUACACAACGAUGACGAUAAGAUAAAAUAUCAUUUUAGUGAGUGAAUAAAUCUAACUCAAUGGACUCAAUGAUAUCAUAUGAGAUCAUUAGACAAAGUAGUUGGAUGAAUUGCUUUCAUAAAGAGUAAACAAUAGGUAGUUUUCAAUAAUGGUACUAUAUGUGGACUGACUUCAAGAUUAAGUAAAUUGUGAAUUAUCUAAAUAAAGCUUCUGGACAUAAUUGCAUUUACUUGAGCCUAAUUGUAUAUGUUCGAUUGGUCCCUUUGCUAGCUCAACAAAAGCUCAAUCAGACUGCAUUUGAAUCAAAAGAAAUUCUAUGACUUUGAAAAUAAUUUAAUUGAGUCGAUUUAUUCAAGAUAACUAUUGUGCCACCUUUAUUAGAAACGCAUUGAGUUGGACUUACUCUCUCACUAUCAGAGAUAACAUACACAAUACAAACAUCCAACUGUUUAGUGAUUUCUUUUUUACUACCUCCUCCAUAGUUGGGUUUAACCGACAUUACGCAUCAACAAUUGGCUUCUUAUCUUAUUCCAGCAAAAGUUACAAAAAUAUAAAUUAUAAAACAAAAACGAUCUAAUUAGAGAAUAUGAACUAAAUCCACAACUAACACAUAGUACGAGACUAAUAGCAUAAUUUAAUCUAACAAAUUUAACUUCUAUUGUUUAUGCAAGUACUAGAAUUUCAAAUUAAAAAAGUAGAAUAAUUAUAAUUGAUCAGAUAAAACUAAAAGGACUAAAUCCACAACUUAUGUAUGGUAAAAAGAUUAAUAAAAAAAAUUCAAUCGUAUGAAUUAGGGUUUAUUUUUUAAGUUCACGAGCACAAUUACUAAGGUGUGGAUAAAAAUAAUAGCCAAUUAUUUCCAAUUUUUUAUUACCUACAAGUUAUUGUAUAAAAAUAUUAUCUUCAAUUAAUUAUCAAAAAAAGAAAAAUGUUAAUAUAUGGUAACUAUAUCUAAAUUAAUUGUGCUAUUAUUAUCUUGCCAUAGGUGACGUAUAAAGCAUACUGCAAAAUCUUCUAUAUGAUUUUUCUCUUCCGACAAAAUUCGCAAGUAUAUCUUCACCUACCAAGUCAUAACUUUACUGCGAUAUUAGGUUAAAAAAAUUCCAAGAAAUUCAACUAUAAAUGGCCAAAUGCAUGUCAUUUUUUGUAUAUCAUCAGCUUGUUAUCAUACAACUAACUCUUUGUUUCAUCUCUCAAUAGCUUUCAUUUUAAACUAUGGCUUAUUUCGGCGUGGUUUCUCUUUUUGCAGUUUUGCUUGUGGCUUCUUGUUAGUAUCUAAAAUAUUUAUCCAGUUCAAUAUUUAAUUAUUACAUACAUAUAUAUACAUGUAACUUUUUUAGUAUACAAGAGAUUGCAGUAUUAAAAUGAGGGAGGAUUUGCAAUCGUUGCGAUUCGAAUCCUAUGUGUCUUAAACUAAUUAUAUAUAAUAGCUAAUAUAAAAUAACUAACAAAAUUUUUAAAUGAUGAAAAAUUUGUUGUUUAAUUUUCAGGUUUAUCAAACUCAGAAGCAUGCACUCGUGACAUAGACUGUUUGGGCCAGUGUAAACAUGGUGGUUUUUGUGACUUGACAACUAAAAAAUGUAGUUGUUUGCCGGUGUCAGAGCAGCUACCAUCUAACAUUGCAGCAACAGUGGAUGCUAUGCAGCGAUGACAGAAACUUCAAAGGAUUGCCCACCAGCUUGUUAAGCCCAUAACAUUCAGGUGGCAUUUGUGUCUGCAAACGCUGUGCCUGAAGCAAAAAAAAAUCCGAACAAAAAACUCUAAAUUUAAGCCUUUCAACAAUGCCAAAUAUUAUAAGAUAAACUUUGUAUCCAAAAAAUUGGGAAAUAAAUUAUUAGUGAAUAAAAAGGUUGUCAAAGAGAACUUAUUUACUUAUGUUAUACUUCGUUCAAGUAUCGUAACUUCAUAUCUUUUCAAUUGACCAUGCAUGGUUCUAAUUUUCGAUCCAUCGAAUUUAUAUGUGGUCAAUGCAAUCCUUUAAUUAAUGGAUUUAACGACUAAUGUUAUAAUAUCAUGCCAACUAGUCAUUUCCACAUAAUUCGCACAAAAAGAGGCUUGAUUUAAUUAAUGGAUUUAACGACUACUGCUUGGGUUAAGAUAGAGAUAUCAAAUCUCAAAAUAUGAUCUAAUUGGAGAAUAGGAACUAAACCCACAACUUACCGAUACUAUGAGAUUGAUAACAUAAUUUAAUCUACCUAGAGUUUAUUUGGGCACUAGGAUUUCAAAUUUAAAAAGUAGAAGGGUUACAAUAAUCGUGGGGAGAGAUGUAGAGGGACAAGGGACGGGUAAAUUUUUAUUUUUUAUAAUAACAUAUUUAUUUAAUAUUAAUAUUAAUAUAAAAUUGUUUUUAAUUAAAUUUUAGUGGGGUGUUGACUUUAGCCAUCCCAUUAGUUCAAACUUUAUUUUAAUGGCACUAACUACAGGUACCAAAUUCAGUAACAGAAUCAAAGUUUAGGUAUUUGGAUUGGCCAAAAAAUAGUUUCAGUACCUAUGUCAAACAAAGCAAAUAGUUCAAUGGCCUCCUAUUCAAUUAAGCCUUUAAUAAAAUCUCAAAUUAAAGAGAAAGAUGUUGGUAAAUGUGAUCGUAUUAUAGUAAACAUUUACCUAUUUUCUAUGUAUUUGAACGAUGGAUAAAUAAAUAAAGUUAAUUUCACAUUUCACUCUUAUAUCUUGUGUUUCUGUCUUCCAUGUUUUAGCUUACGUAUCAAAAUUGUAACAAGCAAAUGUUAGCUCAUUGAUUGUCUAAGUUGAAACUGAUGAUAAGUGUGGCACUAUAAGAAUGUUUACAUUUCGAGAAAGACAAUUUACUUCUAUUAAUAAUCUAAACAAGUCUGUAAUCCCGUAAAAGAAUCAAAGUGAGCAUUUGAUUCAAAUACUCAAAAGCAUUAUUAUGUUGUCUAUAAUUCUAGUUAGGGAUGUGAUUAGUCUUGGCUAUCCGAGCAGUUGAAUCCACGGGUAGAGACAUAAUCGUAUUGCUUGGAAGAAUGAGACAUUAGACUGAACCUAAAAUGGAUCAAUUCACUUGUGACGUUCAUGGUGUGACUUACCUAAAUCCUAAGUUAGUCACUGACCAUGCGUAUGUAACUCAUGUGCUUUGAUAUUAGUGUAGGCAUAUGCUCUUAACAUGACCGAGUCGAUAGCCAUAUGUUAGGUACAUGACUUGGGUUUGGCAUUACUUUACUAGCAACAAUGAAAUCCAUACCUCGACUAAGAGUUAACGAUAUCCUCUCAUUGAUAUUGUUUGGAUUGAUAAAAAUGGAUUUGGCCACGGGGUUUGCUUGUUCUCGAACGAGUAAUUUGUCACAGUCAUUAGUUGACAAUGAUCAUAUUAACAAUUAAGAAUACACAACGAUGACGAUAAGAUAAAAUAUCAUUUUAGUGAGUGAAUAAAUCUAACUCAAUGGACUCAAUGAUAUCAUAUGAGAUCAUUAGACAAAGUAGUUGGAUGAAUUGCUUUCAUAAAGAGUAAAACAAUAGGUAGUUUUCAAUAAUGGUACUAUAUGUGGACUGACUUCAAGAUUAAGUAAAUUGUGAAUUAUCUAAAUAAAGCUUCUAGACAUAAUUGCAUUUACUUGAGCCUAAUUGUAUAUGUUCGAUUGGUCCCUUUGCUAGCUCAACAAAAGCUCAAUCAGACUGCAUUUGAAUCAAAAGAAAAUUCUAUGACUUUGAAAAUAAUUUAAUUGAGUCGAUUUAUUCAGGAUAACUAUUGUGCCACCUUUAUUAGAAACGCAUUGAGUUGGACUUACUCUCUCACUAUCAGAGAUAACAUACACAAUACAAACAUCCAACUGUUUAGUGAUUUCGUUUUUACUACCUCCUCCAUAGUUGGGUUUAACGACAUUUACGCAUCAACAAUUGGCUUCUUAUCUUAUUCCAGCAAAAGUUACAAAAAUAUAAAUUAUAAAAACAAAAAACGAUCUAAUUAGAGAAUAUGAAACUAAAUCCACAACUAACACAUAGUACGAGACUAAUAGCAUAAUUUAAUCUAACAAAUUUAACUUCUAUUGUUUUAUGCAAGUACUAGAAUUUCAAAUUAAAAAAGUAGAAUAAUUAUAAUUGAUCAGAUAAAACUAAAAGGACUAAAUCCCAACUUAUGUAUGGUAAAAAGAUUAAUAAAAAAAAUUCAAUCGUAUGAAAUUAGGGGUUAUUUUUAAGUUCACGAGCACAAAUUACUAAGGUGUGGAUCAAAAUAAUAGCCAAUUAAUUUCCAAUUUUUUUAUUACCUACAAGUUAUUGUAUAAAAAUAUUAUCUUCAAUAAUAUCAAAAAAAGAAAAAUGUUAAUAUAUGGUAACUAUAUCUAAAUUAAUUGUGCUAUUAUUAUCUUGCCAUAGGUGACGUAUAAAGCAUAGUGCAAAAUCUUCUAUAUGAUUUUUCUCUUCCGACAAAAUUCGCAAGUAUAUCUUCACCUACCAAGUCAUAACUUUACUGCGAUAUUAGGUUAAAAAAAUUCCAAGAAAUUCAACUAUAAAUGGCCAAAUGCAUGUCAUUUUUUGUAUAUCAUCAGCUUGUUAUCAUAUAACUAACUCUUUGUUUCAUCUCUCAAUAGCUUUCAUUUUAAACUAUGGCUUAUUUCGGCGUGGUUUCUCUUUUGCGGUUUUGCUUGUGGCUUCUUGUUAGUAUCUAAAAUAUUUAUCCAGUUCAAUAUUUAAUUAUUACAUACAUAUAUACAUGUAACUUUUUUAGUAUACAAGAGAUUGCAGUAUUAAAAUGAGGGAGGAUUUGCAAUCGUUGCGAUUCGAAUCCUAUGUGUCUUAAACUAAUUAUAUAUAAUAGCUAAUAUAAAAUAACUAACAAAAUUUUUAAAUGAUGAAAAAUUUGUUGUUUAAUUUUCAGGUUUAUCAAACUCAGAAGCAUGCACUCGUGACAUAGACUGUUUGGGCCAGUGUAAACAUGGUGGUUUUUGUGACUUGACAACUAAAAAAUGUAGUUGUUUGCCGGUGUCAGAGCAGCUACCAUCUAACAUUGCAGCAACAGUGGAUGCUAUGCAGCGAUGACAGAAACUUCAAAGGAUUGCCCACCAGCUUGUUAAGCCCAUAACAUUCAAGGUGGCAUUUGUGUCUGCAAACGUUGUGCCUGAAGAAAAAAAAAAUCCGAACAAAAAAACUCUAAAUUUAAGCCUUUCAACAAUGCCAAAUAUUAUAAGAUAAACUUUGUAUCCAAAAAAUUGGGAAAUAAAUUGUUAGUGAAUAAAAAGGUUGUCAAAGAGAACUUAUUUACUUAUGUUAUACUUCGUUCAAGUAUCGUAACUUCAUAUCUUUUCAAUUGACC